GACGAACGCUGGCGGCGUGCUUAACACAUGCAAGUCGAACGGAAAGGCCCUGCUUUUGUGGGGUGCUCGAGUGGCGAACGUGUGAGUAACACGUGAGUAACCUGCCCUUGACUUUGGGAUAACUUCAGGAAACUGGGGCUAAUACCGGCUAGGAGCUCCUGCUGCAUGGUGGGGGUUGGAAAGUUUCGGCGGUAGGGGAUGGACUCGCGGCUUAUCAGCUUGUUGGUGGGGGAGUGGCUUACCAGGGCUUCGACGGAUAGCCGGCCUGGGAGGGGGACCGGCCACAUGGGGACUAAGAGACGGCGCAGACUCCUACGGGAGGCAGCAGGGGGGAAUAUUGCACAACGGGCGGAAGCCUGAUACAGCAACGCCGCGUGCGGGAUGACGGCCUUCGGGUUGUAAACCGCUUUCGCCUGUGACGAAGCGUGAGUGACGGUAAUGGGUAAAGAAGCACCGGCUAACUACGUG
This 468-nucleotide ribosomal RNA is filed under the name uncultured bacterium. RNAcentral describes it as "partial 16S ribosomal RNA". It matches the Rfam family "Bacterial small subunit ribosomal RNA", at positions 28 to 507 of the family's 1533-position model. The record is from RNAcentral.